ACUACCAGCUGGUUGGCAUUCCUCUGACCAACAGAAUGACUAGGAAUCAAGGCUUUGAGCCACAGUGUGAUUUAGGGUGGGACUUUGGGUCAUGCGGUCUCAGUCGAUCUCCUGAGGGGCUGCAGACUGAGGACAGCCAUGUGGAUGAACAAUCAGGUUUAGGUAAUCAAGCUUCAGUAAAGACUCUGGACACCAAGCGUCAGCACAGCCAGAAGGACCUAGAGGGUAGAGGAAUUCUCUUCCGUCCAUACAGUUUGGCAACUUGGACGGGAUAAAACUUCACUGGCUGGAUGCUGCUCGCUCCUGCACUACUGAGAGAUCCUGGACCCCUGACAAGAGCCGGCAGGAGAAGCCCAGGCCAGCCUGCGGGAGGAUGAAAGACCACAUGGAGAGGAGCUGAGGCAUCUCUCUGAGGCCACCCUAGACCAGACAGACAGCCCUGGGGAGCUUACUAGCUGACAACGGACACUGCACGGCUGACCGCUAGGUUCCUGAGAACUAAUCAAGUGUUGUUGAAAGACAGUUCUGAGGUGGUUUGUUUUGUGGCAGUAACUAACUGAUCUAAGAAGUAAUGUCAGUGCCAUGAUGGAGGCUGGGGGUAAAUCUCGUGGGACCCCGUUAGGAUUGUAAAAAUUUUUGCUUUUACUCUGAGUAAAAUGAGAAAUCAUCACAAAGUUUUGAGCAGCCAUACAACAUGAUCUGUUAUUUUAAAAUGCUCACUCUAGCUGCUGUGUGUCUUACUUCCUCAUUAGAAUUCCUGAUUCCCUGGCCCAUCCUGGUUCACAACUCCAGGGUGCAGAAGAGGGAUUACUGCCACCAUUGGAACAUUUGCUCAAUUUACAAAGAGAAAUGUUAUUGUUAAUUUGACUUGGAUUUAGUAUGACUUCUUGCGGAUGCUAAAGUUUGUUCUGGCUUUUCAUUUUUCUUGCAGGGAAUUAUUUCUAUUUCCUUUUGCUCAAAGAUGACUUCUGCACGGGAAGUAUGACCUUUUAAUCUAAUUUUCAUUUUUAAAGAGCUCGUGGCUUUACAUGGGAGUUACAGCCUCAUGCAUAUUAUGAGAAAAGAGCCAGGGGAGGCAGAACCCAUGACAUCCUUCUAAUACUGUGGAAUCUCGGAUCCCUGGGAAUGAAGUGACUAGAGGAAAUCACUUCUAAUUAUUCUAGCAUUAAUAUUCUAAGAAUCAACCUUUCAUGACAUUUAGUUUACUACGUCACACAAAGUGAUAUUUCUCAGACACCCGUGGCAACAAAUACCACCCAGAGCAUUUGUUCUAGCUCUAGACCUGGACUCCAAGUUAUAAGAGACAGAUUGUUUCUGCUAAAACAAAAACCAA
This is a long non-coding RNA of Diceros bicornis minor, 1333 nucleotides long. RefSeq lists it as uncharacterized. The record is from RefSeq and is a predicted model, not a curated record. NCBI's taxonomy places the organism in Eukaryota, Metazoa, Chordata, Mammalia, Perissodactyla, Rhinocerotidae. The transcript is spliced from 4 exons.